AUGGUCGAAUUUCUUCAGCGCCGCUUCRCCGCAGUCCCAAAAAUCGAGCUGGAACAUGACGGGGCGCCCGGUGUCACGCAGCUUCGCCGGCCAGUACACCGUGGUGGCCUCAAUGCCUGCGGAGAGGCGGCGCGUGGUCGGCGCCGCCAUGGCGGUGUUGUCCCCCCCCUCCCCCCCGCGCCCCCGGUCCCGCCGUACCCAGCGUUUCGUGGUGCGCGGCCGGCACCUCCGCGCCCACCAGCUUGGCCACCAGCGCCGUCUUGCCCACGCCGCUCUUGCCCGAGACGAAGAGCUUGUAGGCGGCCGUGGCGGUGGCCAGCGGCGGCGGCAGCACCGGGCGCUCCAGCAAGCCUGCGGGAACGCAGCGGGUUAGGGGACGUGGAGGGGGGCCUGAUCUGGGGGCCGGGGGGUGCGGGGGGUGCUCACCGAAAAUUCUCCUGCGGUCCUUGUGCAGGAUGGCGUCCCGGUGCUGCCGGCCCUCGGGCGAGAGCAGCCAGCCCGGCUCCACCACCGAGCCCGGCGCCGCRUCCAUGGCUGCGGGAGCGGGAGCCGUGGGGCUCGGCCCCCCCUGCCCCGAAACGGUGGGUGCGAGGCAGCCCCUGCCAAGCCCCGCGGGGUCCCCGCACCCCCCGAGCUUCAGGGUGCAAUUCACCCCCUCCUGCCCCCCCCUCUAAGGGAGUCUCAGCACCCCCUGUGGCCCUCCUGCACCCCCAAACCCUGCGAAGRGGGGUGCAAAACCUCCCCUCCUGCUCCCAGGGACCCCCCAGGGGCCCCCUGCACCCCCCAGGGGCUCCCUGCACCCCCAAACCCUGCAAAGGGGGGUGCAAAACCUCUUCUCCUGCCCCCGGGGACCCCCAAGGGGUCCCCUGCACCCCCAAAUCCUGCAAAGGGGGUGAAACACGUCCUCUCAUGCCCCCAUGGUCCCUGCACCCCCCCAGAGGCCCCUUGCACCCCCCCAGAGGCCCUCUGCACCCCACAAGGCCUCCUGCCCCCCCCAGGGGCCCCUGCACCCCCCAUAGGCCCCUUGCAUCCCCUUAA
This 1038-nucleotide long non-coding RNA is filed under the name Apteryx haastii (Great spotted kiwi). RNAcentral's name for it is "lncRNA (ENSAHAG00000019446.1)". Lineage: Eukaryota; Metazoa; Chordata; Aves; Apterygiformes; Apterygidae. The record is from RNAcentral.